RNAcentral lists this ribosomal RNA (490 nucleotides) under uncultured bacterium. RNAcentral describes it as "partial 16S ribosomal RNA". It matches the Rfam family "Bacterial small subunit ribosomal RNA", at positions 30 to 507 of the family's 1533-position model. The record is from RNAcentral.
AUUGAACGCUGGCGGCAGGCCUAACACAUGCAAGUCGAACGGUAACAGGAAACAGCUUGCUGUUUCGCUGACGAGUGGCGGACGGGUGAGUAAUGUCUGGGAAACUGCCUGAUGGAGGGGGAUAACUACUGGAAACGGUAGCUAAUACCGCAUAACGUCGCAAGACCAAAGAGGGGGACCCUCGGGCCUCUUGCCGUCGGAUGUGCCCAGAUGGGAUUAGCUUGUUGGUGGGGUAACGGCUCACCAAGGCGACGAUCCCUAGCUGGUCUGAGAGGAUGACCAGCCACACUGGAACUGAGACACGGUCCAGACUCCUACGGGAGGCAGCAGUGGGGAAUAUUGCACAAUGGGCGCAAGCCUGAUGCAGCCAUGCCGCGUGUAUGAAGAAGGCCUUCGGGUUGUAAAGUACUUUCAGCGGGGAGGAAGGGAGUAAAGUUAAUACCUUUGCUCAUUGACGUUACCCGCAGAAGAAGCACCGGCUAACUCCGUG